CCUUGGCCUCCCAAAGUGUUGGAAUUACAGGCAUGAGCCACCGCUCCUGGCCUAGAGAAUUCUUUUAUAGGACUCUACACGUGUAAAACUAUUCAAAUUCAAUUUUUUGUGAACUUUUAUUAAAAAAUUUGUCCACUACUUUGUUGCUUAGAUUCAUAUGGCUUUUUGAGAAACAUGCUAACUUUGCCUUUACUAUGCUGAAAUUGGAUCAUUCUUUUUUCCACUAGGCUUCAGAAAAGGAUGUUAUAUUACAAAAACACUUCUGGACCAAAAAAGAGAAUUGCACAGUCUGGCAAAUUUGAUAAUAUUCACUCACAACGGACCUACAUCUGGAUGUAGUUCUUUCAAGAGAAAAUCCAACUGCAAAACCAACCAGAUCAUUCAUUCCUGUCAAAAGUAUUGCUUCUCUUUCUGUAUAGGUGUUAAAAAGCAAUAUACUUAGCAGCAUCUAAGAAGAUCUGUUGUCGAUGUGGAAAAACAUAUGGUGUGACUCCCUCAGGUUGACACAGCAGGGUAGAAGAGUGUAACUACCACGUUGGCCAAGUGUUGAAUCAUAAAGGCAAGUAUUUGGUAGUUCUGUUUGGUUUGACAAGCCAGUGCCACAGCUGUUCAGAAAAAAGUGGGAUG
This 627-nucleotide long non-coding RNA is filed under the name Rhinopithecus bieti (black snub-nosed monkey). RNAcentral describes it as "lncRNA (ENSRBIG00000046537.1)". The record is from RNAcentral. Lineage: Eukaryota; Metazoa; Chordata; Mammalia; Primates; Cercopithecidae.